GAUUCCUAGGAAGCCAUGGAGGAUGGAACAAACUUAGAGCUGGAGCCUGAAGAGUUCUUGGAACUUGUGUAUGGGAAGUUAUCCUGACUGUGGUCAGCUGAUCUGCGGUGACUGGUCAGCCCACCAAGAAGGUACCUCAGCACGCAGGGGAAUUCCUGGCAGGUGGGCUUGUCCAGGGCUGUGUGCUUCAGAGGUACCAUUGGUGCGUGCACAUAAACAAGGCAGUUCAUAUCUUACAUGUGUGCACUGCUGUAACAACCGGAGAGAGGAGCAGAUGUAUAGAGCUGAAAUAGGUAAAUAUAAAACUAUUUCAGAGAGUAUUGAUUUCUUUUCCUCAUUUUUUUCAUCUACUUAA
This 355-nucleotide long non-coding RNA is filed under the name Anser cygnoides (Swan goose). RNAcentral's name for it is "lncRNA (ENSACDG00005017496.1)". The record is from RNAcentral. Lineage: Eukaryota; Metazoa; Chordata; Aves; Anseriformes; Anatidae.